UUUAACUGAAGAGUUUGAUCAUGGCUCAGAUUGAACGCUGGCGGCAGGCUUAACACAUGCAAGUCGAGCGGGGGAAGGUAGCUUGCUACUGGACCUAGCGGCGGACGGGUGAGUAAUGCUUAGGAAUCUGCCUAUUAGUGGGGGACAACAUCUCGAAAG
Molecule: ribosomal RNA, 159 nt
Filed under: Acinetobacter baumannii
Lineage: Bacteria; Pseudomonadati; Pseudomonadota; Gammaproteobacteria; Moraxellales; Moraxellaceae
Description: partial 16S ribosomal RNA
Rfam family: Bacterial small subunit ribosomal RNA
Source: RNAcentral